Molecule: ribosomal RNA, 373 nt
Filed under: uncultured organism
Description: partial 16S ribosomal RNA
Rfam family: Bacterial small subunit ribosomal RNA
Source: RNAcentral
GUAGGUGGCAAGCGUUGUCCGGAAUUAUUGGGCGUAAAGCGCGCGCAGGCGGUCCUUUAAGUCUGAUGUGAAAGCCCACGGCUCAACCGUGGAGGGUCAUUGGAAACUGGGGGACUUGAGUACAGAAGAGGAAAGCGGAAUUCCAAGUGUAGCGGUGAAAUGCGUAGAGAUUUGGAGGAACACCAGUGGCGAAGGCGGCUUUCUGGUCUGUAACUGACGCUGAGGCGCGAAAGCGUGGGGAGCAAACAGGGAUUAGAUGCCCUGGUAGUCCACGCCGUAAACGAUGAGUGCUAAGUGUUAGGGGGUUUCCGCCCCCCUUAGUGCUGCAGCUAACGCAUUAAGCACUCCGCCUGGGAGUACGGCCGCAAGGCUG